This is a long non-coding RNA of Esox lucius (northern pike), 1234 nucleotides long. Lineage: Eukaryota; Metazoa; Chordata; Actinopteri; Esociformes; Esocidae. The record is from Ensembl.
GGGGCGGUAUCCGUUGUGGAGUAAUGGCCAGCCAGGAUCUGUGUGAACACCAAGCCAAAAAUGCAACUUUGCGCCUCAGUUGUUAGUUAAUUUAUGUUAUUUUGGGGACUGAAUGGUCGUCGGGGAAAGUCCGUAGCCUACUUAUUCUUUGCAUUCAAUUGAAGAGCAUUGAAGAGAAUUUCGCCCGGGAAUGUGAUAACACCUGUGUUUGGAGUUAAUGUUUUAAAAUAAUCUUCUCUUGAAUUUGGGUAAAGUAGUCAAUUGGAAAGCGAUAGAACUGAGCGUAAGUGGUCGUCAGUGGCAGAAUUAACGCUCUUGUGGCCCGUUAAGUUUUCAUCAUGGGAACAUAUGUCUGGUUUCCAGCGUUCUACGCGUUUAUCGUCUGUGGAUAUUUAGCGUUUUUCUCUGGGGUACUUUUCCCACAAGCAGAAGCGGGGUGCAGGGAGAGAGAAAGCCCACAUUGCUGUACCGGGAGAAAUAACGAAUGUUUUGAGUACACGAAGCGUAAAACUGUGUGCUACUGCGAUUCGUACUGUCAGAAAACAGGGGACUGCUGCGAGGACUAUCGGCAUGUUUGUCAAAUAUCUGGAUUACUUUGGGCACACUAUUCCCAGAGAACAGUUGAUGGCUCCUGGAUCUGAGGUGAAUGUGCCUCUGCAAAUUAUCCUUACAAGUCCAGUACAGGCUCUUCCUCGAACAUGGACUUAACUUUCUGGAACCUAUCGCAUUCUUCCACCCACGCUUGAAGCCUCUCAUAAGAUGUCUGCUGGAAGAGAAUCCCAGAGGCGAGGUGCAGAGCGGCUAAAGGCUCUAAACCCCAUAGUGGUCAAAUGGGCUGGAGGAACAGUGAGAUAAACUUCUACAGAGAGUCCUGGCCAUGAGGAGGGACACCACUGUUACUUUCCAAGCUGAAAUAACAAGACUUCCCAAUCCAGCCCUUCCACCCAAUAUUGCUACCCUGCCAAAGCUAGCUAAGGAAGAAGUUGUUGCACAUCACAGAUCUCGCAUUCAAAAAAGUCCAUAAAAUCACUGCAGUAACACAAUUCGUUGUAGUAGUAGUACAUCGGAAAGUAGUGAUCCACUUUAACCAUUACUGUAAAUAACACAAACAUACAUAUUUUUUAAAUCACUUUGUAUAUUGUCAACUAAAGUGCCAUUGUUGUUUAAAAGGUACGUAUGACAAUUUCUUGCUUAUAAACAAAGUGAGUUAUUGUUGAAUGUUGGCCUACCAAUU